RNAcentral lists this ribosomal RNA (511 nucleotides) under uncultured bacterium. RNAcentral describes it as "bacterial SSU rRNA". It matches the Rfam family "Bacterial small subunit ribosomal RNA", at positions 25 to 518 of the family's 1533-position model. The record is from RNAcentral.
CAGGACGAACGCUGGCGGCAUGCCUAAUACAUGCAAGUCGAGCGAAUGAUGAAGAAGCUUGCUUCUCUGAUUAGCGGCGGACGGGUGAGUAACACGUGGGCAACCUACCCUAUAGAUUGGGAUAACACAGGGAAACCUGUGCUAAUACCGAAUAAUACCUUUCUCUUCAUGGAGAAUGGUUGAAAGAUGGUUUCGGCUAUCACUAUAGGAUGGGCCCGCGGCGCAUUAGCUAGUUGGUGAGGUAAUGGCUCACCAAGGCAACGAUGCGUAGCCGACCUGAGAGGGUGAUCGGCCACACUGGGACUGAGACACGGCCCAGACUCCUACGGGAGGCAGCAGUAGGGAAUCUUCCACAAUGGGCGAAAGCCUGAUGGAGCAAUGCCCGCGUGAGUGAAGAAGGAUUUCGGUUCGUAAAACUCUGUUGUAAGGGAAGAACAAGUAGCGUAGUAACUGGCGUUACCUUGACGGUACCUUAUUAGAAAGCCACGGCUAACUACGUGCCAGCCGCAGC